AAAUUGAAGAGUUUGAUCAUGGCUCAGAUUGAACGCUGGCGGCAGGCCUAACACAUGCAAGUCGAACGGUAACAGGAAACAGCUUGCUGUUUCGCUGACGAGUGGCGGACGGGUGAGUAAUGUCUGGGAAACUGCCUGAUGGAGGGGGAUAACUACUGGAAACGGUAGCUAAUACCGCAUAACGUCGCAAGACCAAAGAGGGGGACCUUCGGGCCUCUUGCCAUCGGAUGUGCCCAGAUGGGAUUAGCUUGUUGGUGGGGUAACGGCUCACCAAGGCGACGAUCCCUAGCUGGUCUGAGAGGAUGACCAGCCACACUGGAACUGAGACACGGUCCAGACUCCUACGGGAGGCAGCAGUGGGGAAUAUUGCACAAUGGGCGCAAGCCUGAUGCAGCCAUGCCGCGUGUAUGAAGAAGGCCUUCGGGUUGUAAAGUACUUUCAGCGGGGAGGAAGGGAGUAAAGUUAAUACCUUUGCUCAUUGACGUUACCCGCAGAAGAAGCACCGGCUAACUCCGUGCCAGCAGCCGCGGUAAUACGGAGGGUGCAAGCGUUAAUCGGAAUUACUGGGCGUAAAGCGCACGCAGGCGGUUUGUUAAGUCAGAUGUGAAAUCCCCGGGCUCAACCUGGGAACUGCAUCUGAUACUGGCAAGCUUGAGUCUCGUAGAGGGGGGUAGAAUUCCAGGUGUAGCGGUGAAAUGCGUAGAGAUCUGGAGGAAUACCGGUGGCGAAGGCGGUCCCCUGGACGAAGACUGACGCUCAGGUGCGAAAGCGUGGGGAGCAAACAGGAUUAGAUACCCUGGUAGUCCACGCCGUAAACGAUGUCGACUUGGAGGUUGUGCCCUUGAGGCGUGGCUUCCGGAGCUAACGCGUUAAGUCGACCGCCUGGGGAGUACGGCCGCAAGGUUAAAACUCAAAUGAAUUGACGGGGGCCCGCACAAGCGGUGGAGCAUGUGGUUUAAUUCGAUGCAACGCGAAGAACCUUACCUGGUCUUGACAUCCACAGAACUUUCCAGAGAUGGAUUGGUGCCUUCGGGAACUGUGAGACAGGUGCUGCAUGGCUGUCGUCAGCUCGUGUUGUGAAAUGUUGGGUUAAGUCCCGCAACGAGCGCAACCCUUAUCCUUUGUUGCCAGCGGUCCGGCCGGGAACUCAAAGGAGACUGCCAGUGAUAAACUGGAGGAAGGUGGGGAUGACGUCAAGUCAUCAUGGCCCUUACGACCAGGGCUACACACGUGCUACAAUGGCGCAUACAAAGAGAAGCGACCUCGCGAGAGCAAGCGGACCUCAUAAAGUGCGUCGUAGUCCGGAUUGGAGUCUGCAACUCGACUCCAUGAAGUCGGAAUCGCUAGUAAUCGUGGAUCAGAAUGCCACGGUGAAUACGUUCCCGGGCCUUGUACACACCGCCCGUCACACCAUGGGAGUGGGUUGCAAAAGAAGUAGGUAGCUUAACCUUCGGGAGGGCGCUUACCACUUUGUGAUUCAUGACUGGGGUGAAGUCGUAACAAGGUAACCGUAGGGGAACCUGCGGUUGGAUCACCUCCUUA
RNAcentral lists this ribosomal RNA (1542 nucleotides) under Escherichia coli. RNAcentral's name for it is "bacterial SSU rRNA". It matches the Rfam family "Bacterial small subunit ribosomal RNA". The record is from RNAcentral. Lineage: Bacteria; Pseudomonadati; Pseudomonadota; Gammaproteobacteria; Enterobacterales; Enterobacteriaceae.